GACGAACGCUGGCGGCGUGCUUAACACAUGCAAGUCGAACGAAGUGGCGAACGGGUGAGUAACGCGUAAUCAACCUGCCCUUCGGAGGGGGACAACAGUUGGAAACGACUGCUAAUACCGCAUACUGAAGGAGGGGAUUGCGUUUGAUUAGCUAGUUGGGGGGGUAACGGCCCACCAAGGCGAUGAUAAGUAGCCGGUCUGGUGGGAAUACCGGGCAAAUGUGGAACGGAACACGGGCCAGACUCCUACGGGAGGAAUCAGUGGGGAAUCUUCCGCAAUGGAGGGAAGUCUGACGGAGCAAAGCCGCGGGGGUGAUGACGGCCUUCGGGGUGUAAAGCUCUGUUAAUAGGGACGCGGUACCGGAAUAGAAAGCCACGGCUAACUACGUGCCAGCAGCCGCGGUAAUAC
Molecule: ribosomal RNA, 408 nt
Filed under: uncultured bacterium
Lineage: Bacteria
Description: partial 16S ribosomal RNA
Rfam family: Bacterial small subunit ribosomal RNA
Source: RNAcentral